CCGAACGGUAGUCAUUCCUGUGCAGUGCCCACACAGAUUGUCUGAUGAAAGAAAGAAUGAGCAGCGUCUGCGAAGAAGACUUGAAGUCCCCUUCGUCUAGAGGCCUAGGACACCGCCCUUUCACGGCGGUAACAGGGGUUCGAAUCCCCUAGGGGACGCCACUUUGCUCGCGGGACUGGGUGAAGGCCGGUGCCAACCGAUAUUGUUAAGCGUGACUUGCGAGUCAGUUUAGCAAUGUUUGCUCUUUAACAAUCUGGAACAAGCUGAAAAUUUGAAACACUCAGUACUGUCACACGGUACUGAGAAGUCUCUCAAAAACUCCGAUCCGAAGACACCUUCGGGUUGUGA
Molecule: unclassified non-coding RNA, 348 nt
Filed under: Xenorhabdus sp. TX26
Lineage: Bacteria; Pseudomonadati; Pseudomonadota; Gammaproteobacteria; Enterobacterales; Morganellaceae
Description: 16S-23S ribosomal RNA intergenic spacer
Rfam family: tRNA (bases 86-158)
Source: RNAcentral